RNAcentral lists this ribosomal RNA (253 nucleotides) under uncultured bacterium. Its description in RNAcentral is "partial 16S ribosomal RNA". It matches the Rfam family "Bacterial small subunit ribosomal RNA", at positions 524 to 776 of the family's 1533-position model. The record is from RNAcentral.
UACGUAGGUGGCAAGCGUUGUUCGGAAUUACUGGGCGUAAAGCGCGCGUAGGCGGCUCUUCAAGUCAGGCGUGAAAGCCCCGGGCUUAACUCGGGAACUGCGCUUGAUACUGUCGAGCUAGAGUGUGGAAGGGGCGAUUGGAAUUCCGCGUGUAGCGGUGAAAUGCGUAGAUAUACGGAGGAACACCAGAGGCGAAGGCGGAUCGCUGGGCCAACACUGACGCUGAUGUGCGAAAGCUAGGGGAGCAAACGGG